Molecule: ribosomal RNA, 253 nt
Filed under: uncultured bacterium
Lineage: Bacteria
Description: partial 16S ribosomal RNA
Rfam family: Bacterial small subunit ribosomal RNA
Source: RNAcentral
UACGAAGGGGGCUAGCGUUGCUCGGAAUCACUGGGCGUAAAGGGUGCGUAGGCGGGGCUUUAAGUCAGGGGUGAAAUCCUGGAGCUCAACUCCAGAACUGCCUUUGAUACUGGCUAUCUUGAGUUCGGGAGAGGUGAGUGGAAUGCCGAGUGUAGAGGUGAAAUUCGUAGAUAUUCGCAAGAACACCAGUGGCGAAGGCGGCUCACUGGCCCGAUACUGACGCUGAGGCACGAAAGCGUGGGGAGCAAACAGG